This 494-nucleotide ribosomal RNA is filed under the name uncultured bacterium. RNAcentral describes it as "partial 16S ribosomal RNA". It matches the Rfam family "Bacterial small subunit ribosomal RNA", at positions 28 to 507 of the family's 1533-position model. The record is from RNAcentral.
GACGAACGCUGGCGGCGUGCUUAACACAUGCAAGUCGAACGGUGAAGCGCCUUCCUUUUUGGUGGGUGUGGAUGAGUGGCGAACGGGUGAGUAACACGUGAGUAACCUGCCCCCUUCUUCUGGAUAACCGCAUGAAAGUGUGGCUAAUACGGGAUAUUCUGGGUCUGUCGCAUGAUGGGUCUGGGAAAGAUAUUGUUUCGGUGGGGGAUGGGCUCGCGGCCUAUCAGCUUGUUGGUGGGGUGAUGGCCUACCAAGGCGGUGACGGGUAGCCGGCCUGAGAGGGUGGACGGUCACACUGGGACUGAGACACGGCCCAGACUCCUACGGGAGGCAGCAGUGGGGAAUAGUGCACAAUGGGCGCAAGCCUGAUGCAGCGACGCCGCGUGAGGGAUGGAGGCCUUCGGGUUGUGAACCUCUUUCGCCAGUGAAGCAGGCCUGCCUCGUUUGUGGGUGGGUUGACGGUAGCUGGAGAAGAAGCGCCGGCUAACUACGUG